This 257-nucleotide ribosomal RNA is filed under the name uncultured bacterium. Its description in RNAcentral is "partial 16S ribosomal RNA". It matches the Rfam family "Bacterial small subunit ribosomal RNA", at positions 524 to 776 of the family's 1533-position model. The record is from RNAcentral.
UACGUAGGGUGCGAGCGUUUGUCCGGAAUUAUUGGGCGUAAAGAGCUCGUAGGCGGUCUGUCGCGUCUGCUGUGAAAACCCGGAGGCUCAACUUCGGGCUUGCAUUCGGAUACGGGCAGGCUGGAGUUCGGGUAGGGGAGACUGGAAUUCCUGGUGUAGCGGUGAAAUGCGCAGAUAUCAGGAGGAACACCGGUGGCGAAGGCGGGUCUCUGGGCCGAUACUGACGCUGAGGAGCGAAAGCGUGGGGAGCGAACAGG